AUGGGCUUGGCCACCAAGAAGGGCUGCAGGUCGUCGUGUCCAUGGCUGAGGGGAGGGGCGAGCUCAGCGACGGCGUGGAGAAAGGGCUAGAGCAGAGGAUGGGCGAGCUCGACUGGGGCGCUCGGGGAAGCGGUGCCAAGGCCGACGCUAGGAAGGGCGAUGCAGCGGCGCUGGCCACCGGCGAGGACGCGGCCGGGUGGAGGUCCGAACAGGGGAUGGAUGCCGUGGCAAGAGCUGGAGGCGAGGGCUUGGGGAUCCGAGUUGAGAGGAUGGUGUGCUCUGCUGCUGGGCGGAGGGCGGCUGGAAGAUGAGCCCAGGUGAGCGGCAUCGCAGGGAUAAGGAGACGGCUGGCUUGAAGAUGGAUACGUGAAUGAUUU
RNAcentral lists this unclassified non-coding RNA (377 nucleotides) under Zea mays. RNAcentral describes it as "misc RNA Zm00001eb346350". Lineage: Eukaryota; Viridiplantae; Streptophyta; Magnoliopsida; Poales; Poaceae. The record is from RNAcentral.